This 728-nucleotide ribosomal RNA is filed under the name uncultured bacterium. RNAcentral describes it as "bacterial SSU rRNA". It matches the Rfam family "Bacterial small subunit ribosomal RNA", at positions 32 to 807 of the family's 1533-position model. The record is from RNAcentral.
AACGCUGGCGGCAGGCUUACACAUGCAAGUCGAGCGAUCCUUUCGGGGAUAGCGGCGGACGGGUGAGUAACGCGUGGGAACGUGCCCAGCUCUGCGGGAUAGCCUCUGGAAACGGAGAUUAAUACCGCAUACGCCCUUCGGGGGAAAGAAUUUCGGAGUUGGAUCGGCCCGCGUUAGAUUAGGUAGUUGGUGGGGUAAUGGCCUGCCAAGCCUACGAUCUAUAGCUGGUUUGAGAGGAUGAUCAGCCACACUGGGACUGAGACACGGCCCAGACUCCUACGGGAGGCAGCAGUGGGGAAUCUUAGACAAUGGGGGCAACCCUGAUCUAGCCAUGCCGCGUGAGUGAUGAAGGCCUUAGGGUCGUAAAGCUCUUUCGCUGGGGAAGAUAAUGACUGUACCCAGUAAAGAAACCCCGGCUAACUCCGUGCCAGCAGCCGCGGUAAUACGGAGGGGGUUAGCGUUGUUCGGAAUUACUGGGCGUAAAGCGCGCGUAGGCGGGCUAUUAAGUCAGGGGUGAAAUCCCGGGGCUCAACCCCGGAACUGCCCUUGAUACUGGUAGCCUUGAGUUCGAGAGAGGUGAGUGGAAUUCCGAGUGUAGAGGUGAAAUUCGUAGAUAUUCGGAGGAACACCAGUGGCGAAGGCGGCUCACUGGCUCGAUACUGACGCUGAGGUGCGAAAGUGUGGGGAGCAAACAGGAUUAAAUACCCUGGUUAGUCCACACCGUAAAC